This 115-nucleotide non-coding RNA is filed under the name Jatropha curcas. RNAcentral's name for it is "Bacterial small subunit ribosomal RNA". It matches the Rfam family "Bacterial small subunit ribosomal RNA", at positions 756 to 869 of the family's 1533-position model. Lineage: Eukaryota; Viridiplantae; Streptophyta; Magnoliopsida; Malpighiales; Euphorbiaceae. The record is from Rfam by way of RNAcentral.
AAAGCUAAGUGAGUGAAUGGAAUUAGAUAGCCCAAUAGUCCUAGCUAUAAAUGAUGGAUACCGGGCGUUGUGCAUAUCGACCCAUGCAAUGCUGUAGCUAACGCAUUAAAUAUCC